UAGGGGGGGUGUUUGAAUUGAUAAUGCGGCGAAUCAGCUAUAAAUCAAAUUUAUUAAGGCCCUAUUUACAUGCUCCUAAAAACGUAGUAUAGUUAAAUUAUGUUACACCGGUAAAAAAAUUAUUCUGUAAAGUGUUUAUGAGAAAAAAAAAAUAACGUAUUUUUUUGGAGGAUAGUUAUACUAUACUUCAAAAAAUAGAGUAAAACUACAAACCUACAUGUUAAAUUUCAAAUUUUAAAAUUAAUUUUAAUUUUAAAUUUUUAAUUUUUAAUUUUAAUUUUCAAUUUUUUAAAUUUUAAAUUUUAUAAUUUUAUAAUUUCAAAUCUUAUUUUUCAAUAUCAAAUUUCAAUUUCCAAAUAUUAAAAUUUAAUUUUCAUUUUAAAUAUUAAUUUUCAAAUUUAAAAUUUCAAAAUUCAAAUUUAAAAUUUAAAAUUUCAAAAUUUAAAUAUA
Molecule: long non-coding RNA, 450 nt
Filed under: Ananas comosus (pineapple)
Lineage: Eukaryota; Viridiplantae; Streptophyta; Magnoliopsida; Poales; Bromeliaceae
Description: long non-coding RNA (ACOM_LNC011596)
Source: RNAcentral